GGGCGGUUAGCUCAGAGGUAGAGCGCCUGCCUUACAAGCAGGAUGUCAGUGGUUCGAAUCCACUAUCGCCCACCA
Molecule: transfer RNA, 75 nt
Filed under: Blastocatellia bacterium
Lineage: Bacteria; Pseudomonadati; Acidobacteriota; Blastocatellia
Description: tRNA-Val
Rfam family: tRNA
About the family: Transfer RNA (tRNA) molecules are approximately 80 nucleotides in length. Their secondary structure includes four short double-helical elements and three loops (D, anti-codon, and T loops). Further hydrogen bonds mediate the characteristic L-shaped molecular structure. tRNAs have two regions of fundamental functional importance: the anti-codon, which is responsible for specific mRNA codon recognition, and the 3' end, to which the tRNAs corresponding amino acid is attached (by aminoacyl-tRNA synthetases). tRNAs cope with the degeneracy of the genetic code in two manners: having more than one tRNA (with a specific anti-codon) for a particular amino acid; and 'wobble' base-pairing, i.e. permitting non-standard base-pairing at the 3rd anti-codon position.
Source: RNAcentral